This 1330-nucleotide ribosomal RNA is filed under the name Fusola viridis. Its description in RNAcentral is "SSU rRNA". The stretch from base 1 to 641 matches the Rfam family "Bacterial small subunit ribosomal RNA", at positions 898 to 1533 of the family's 1533-position model. The record is from RNAcentral. Lineage: Eukaryota; Viridiplantae; Chlorophyta; Chlorophyceae; Sphaeropleales; Cylindrocapsaceae.
AACUCAAAGGAAUUGACGGGGGCCCGCACAAGCGGUGGAGCAUGUGGAUUAAUUUGAUGCAACGCGGAGAACCUUACCAGGGCUUGACAUGUCGAGAACCUUCUAGAAAUAGAGGGGUGCAUGUAAAUGAACUCGAACACAGGUGGUGCAUGGCUGUCGUCAGCUCGUGCUGUGAAGUGUUUGGUUAAGUCCAAAAACGAGCGCAACCCUUGUCUUUAGUUAUUUAGUCUAGAGAGACUGCCAGUGUAAGCUGGAGGAAGGUGAGGAUGACGUCAAGUCAGCAUGCCCCUUACGCCCUGGGCGUCACACGUGCUACAAUGGUUGAGACAAUACGCAGCAAACUCGUCAAGGGUAAGCGAAUCGGACAAACUCUUCCUCAGUUCGGAUUGCAGGCUGCAACUCGCCUGCAUGAAGCCGGAAUCGCUAGUAAUCGCCGGUCAGCCACACGGCGGUGAAUACGUUCCCGGGCCUUGUACACACCGCCCGUCACACCAUGGAAGCAGGUCAUGCCCUAAGUCGUGACCCCAACCUUGGAUUCUUUAUAGAGUCUGAAGAGGGGGAUGCCUAAGGCAGGGCUCGUGACCGGGGUGAAGUCGUAACAAGGUAAGCCUACUGGAAGGUGGGCUUGGAUCUCCUCCUUCAAUUGACUAGACGUCAACUUAUAUAAAAUAUAGGAACGUAGUUGGCGAACGACAGUUCGACUAACGAAUUAUUGAGAAUUCGUUCGCUAAACGAACGGUGAUAGGAGCGAAUUCUCUAUAAUCGUUCGUUCAGCUUAUUACUUAUUAUACGAUUCUCAAUAAUUCGCUCCUAUCACCGUUCGUUAACGAACGAAUUAUUGGGAACAUGAUCAAGGCUUUCGUUCGACAAAUAAUUCUAGCUCUAAUUAAUCUAAUUAAUUAGAGAAAAUAAGAAGAAAAAAAGAUUUCAGCAUUUAGUAAAGCUAUAGUCGGAUCUUUAUAAUUCGUUCAGCGAACAUAAUAGGGGGGGGCUAUUAGCUCAGCGGUAGAGCGCACCCCUGAUAAGGGUGAGGCCGCAGGUUCAAGUCCUGCAUAGCCCACCACUGAACUAGACUCAUUCUAUAAAUAUAAAGAAGAUUUUAUGGGUUGAAUUGAUGAACUUUUUAGAAUUCCCCCAAUUAUUAUAAGGACAAUUUCCCUCUACAAUCCCCCCAAUAAUCCCCCCAAUAAUAUAAUACCCUUCUUAUGAUUUUACCCCUUGAAGGGUAUUGUUGGGGGUAUAGUGAUAAGAGGGGUAACUAUAAGAGGGGUGAUGAUAAGAGGGGUGAUGAUAAGAGGGGUGAUGAUAAGAGGGGUUAUAGAGUUUAUCG